This 806-nucleotide ribosomal RNA is filed under the name uncultured organism. Its description in RNAcentral is "bacterial SSU rRNA". It matches the Rfam family "Bacterial small subunit ribosomal RNA", at positions 665 to 1487 of the family's 1533-position model. The record is from RNAcentral.
AAUUCCCGGAGUACCGGUAAAAUGCGCAGAUAUCGGGAGGAACACCGGUGGCGAUAUCGGCACCCUGGGUUGCGCCUGACGCUGAGAGACGACAGCUAGGGGACCGAACAGGAUUAGAGACCCUGGUAGUCCUAGCCGUUAACGAUGGAUGCUAGGUGUAGGAGUGAAGAGCUUCUGUGCCGCAGCGAACGCGAUAAGCAACCCGCCUGGGGAGUACGGCCGCAAGGUUAAGACUCAAACGAAUUGACGGGGACCCGCACAAGCAGCGGAGCGUGUGGUUUAAUUCGAUGCUACACGAAGAACCUUACCUGGGAUUGACAUAUGGGUGGUAGUGAUCCGAAAGGAGAGCGACCCUUCGGGGAGCCUAUACAGGUGCUGCAUGGCUGUCGUCAGCUCGUGCCGUGAGGUGUCGGGUUAAGUCCCGUAACGAGCGCAACCCUUGUCCUUAGUUACAAGUGUCUAAGGGGACUGCCGGCGGGAAGCCGGAGGAAGGUGGGGAUGACGUCAAGCCAGCAUGGCCCUUAUAUCCAGGGCGACACACACGCUACAAUGGUCGGUACAGAGGGCAGCGAAGCCGCGAGGUGGAGCGAAACCCAGAAAGCCGGUCGUAGUUCGGAUUGCAGGCUGCAACUCGCCUGCAUGAAGUUGGAGUUGCUAGUAACCGCAGGUCAGCCAUACUGCGGUGAUACGUUCCCGGGUCUUGACACACCGCCCGUCACGUCAUGGGAGUCUGUUACGCCUGAAGGCGGUAGCCUGACCGCAAGGGAGGCGCUGUCGAGGGCGGGGCUGGCAACUGGGACGAAGUC